CUUCAGUGUCUAAAAAUAUAGAGUGAGCUGAUUUCCCUUUAUUUUCAGGAACGUCAGACUUACCUUCAAGGACAAUACACCAGUAGUAGUGCAAAGAAACACUAUUUCUAGCCCUAUAGUGUCCCUCUGCCACUGCGACCUCCCUUGCAGCAAUGAAAAUGCUAUAAACCCUUUAAUUCACGUAUCUGUUUCCAGUGCAAAGGUCCCUUGGCACUGGCUUUGUCUCUGCCUCCUAUGACAUCAGCACGAGGAGCAGCAAUUUGCAAGACGAU
Non-coding RNA from Pelobates cultripes (western spadefoot toad), 272 nucleotides. NCBI's taxonomy places the organism in Eukaryota, Metazoa, Chordata, Amphibia, Anura, Pelobatidae. The record is from the annotation of a GenBank genome assembly.